This 500-nucleotide ribosomal RNA is filed under the name uncultured bacterium. RNAcentral describes it as "partial 16S ribosomal RNA". It matches the Rfam family "Bacterial small subunit ribosomal RNA", at positions 30 to 523 of the family's 1533-position model. The record is from RNAcentral.
AUUGAACGCUGGCGGCAUGCCUUACACAUGCAAGUCGAACGGCAGCACGGGAGCAAUCCUGGUGGCGAGUGGCGAACGGGUGAGUAAUAUAUCGGAACGUGCCCAGUCGUGGGGGAUAACGCAGCGAAAGCUGUGCUAAUACCGCAUACGAUCUACGGAUGAAAGCGGGGGAUCGCAGGACCUCGCGCGAUUGGAGCGGCCGAUAUCAGAUUAGGUAGUUGGUGAGGUAAAGGCUCACCAAGCCGACGAUCUGUAGCUGGUCUGAGAGGACGACCAGCCACACUGGGACUGAGACACGGCCCAGACUCCUACGGGAGGCAGCAGUGGGGAAUUUUGGACAAUGGGCGCAAGCCUGAUCCAGCAAUACCGCGUGCAGGAUGAAGGCCUUCGGGUUGUAAACUGCUUUUGUACGGAACGAAACGGCGAGCUCUAAUACAGUUUGCUAAUGACGGUACCGUAAGAAUAAGCACCGGCUAACUACGUGCCAGCCGCCGCGGUAA